AACGGAAAAGGUCUUGCGGUAGUUUUAGUGGCGCCCUCCCUGAAUUUUUUCAGGAACAGAAAAGCGCUUCUGCUUUUAAGAUAACUAAAGAGUCUCUCCAGCACUGCGAAUCUACGCAAUAUCAGUGGUGCCUUCAGCAAAGUCUUUCUUUUGGUGGUAUGUUAAAUGUACUCGGUGUAAUAAACGUAGAUGAAUCACUUGCAUCUGCAGGCUUUAUAAGGUUGAGAAAAACUUGGUAUGCAAUAAAAACUUUCCCGGAAUCUCCUUUAAUAAUAAGAAGUUAUAAUGAGGAAAACGAACUAGUCAAUGAUGUUGUUAUUACUUUAUUCAUUUAUGACCCGUCAGAUUCUUGGAAUUCUUGCGGCGUACUGAGUAAUAAUUUAAGGAUCAAGAAUGAAGCUGAAAGUAUCGUUGCUCUAAACAAAACUGAAUUGCGAU
This is a long non-coding RNA of Zophobas morio, 438 nucleotides long. RefSeq lists it as uncharacterized. Lineage: Eukaryota; Metazoa; Arthropoda; Insecta; Coleoptera; Tenebrionidae. The record is from RefSeq and is a predicted model, not a curated record. The transcript has 4 exons.